UACGGAGGAUCCGAGCGUUAUCCGGAUUUAUUGGGUUUAAAGGGUGCGUAGGUGGCCUGGUAAGUCAGGGGUGAAAGACGGUAGCUUAACUAUCGCAGUGCCUUUGAUACUGCCGGGCUUGAAUAUACUAGAGGUAGGCGGAAUGUGACAAGUAGCGGUGAAAUGCAUAGAUAUGUCACAGAACACCAAUUGCGAAGGCAGCUUACUAUGGUAUGAUUGACACUGAGGCACGAAAGCGUGGGGAUCAAACAGG
RNAcentral lists this ribosomal RNA (253 nucleotides) under uncultured prokaryote. RNAcentral's name for it is "partial 16S ribosomal RNA". It matches the Rfam family "Bacterial small subunit ribosomal RNA", at positions 524 to 776 of the family's 1533-position model. The record is from RNAcentral.